RNAcentral lists this ribosomal RNA (385 nucleotides) under Clostridioides difficile. RNAcentral describes it as "bacterial LSU rRNA". It matches the Rfam family "Bacterial large subunit ribosomal RNA", at positions 710 to 1091 of the family's 2925-position model. The record is from RNAcentral. Lineage: Bacteria; Bacillati; Bacillota; Clostridia; Peptostreptococcales; Peptostreptococcaceae.
UAGACCCGAAACCGUGCGACCUACCCAUGAGCAGGAGGAAGCGAAAGUAAAAUGUCGUGGAGGGCCGCAACGUAGGGCGUUGAAAAGCGCGGGGAGGACGUGUGGGUAGAGGAGAAAUUCCAAUCGAGCCCGGAGAUAGCUGGUUCGCCCCGAAAUAGCUUUAGGGCUAGCCUCAAGGUGAGAGAUACGGAGGUAGAGCACGGAAUGUCCUAGGGGGUAUUGCACCGACCGAAGACUAUCAAACUCCGAAUGCCGUCAUCUUAUACUUGGGAGUCAGACUGUGGGUGAUAAGCUUCAUAGUCGAAAUGGCAACAGACCAGCUAGUCCGCUAAGAUCACUAAAUGCAUGCUAAAGGGUACAGAAUGGGUGAGCUUUGUCUAAUACA